Molecule: long non-coding RNA, 1396 nt
Filed under: Malus domestica (apple)
Lineage: Eukaryota; Viridiplantae; Streptophyta; Magnoliopsida; Rosales; Rosaceae
Description: long non-coding RNA (MDOM_LNC001160)
Source: RNAcentral
UGAGAUCUCUUCAAACCCUUAAUCUUUCUGGUUGCUCAAACCUUGAGAAGUUUCCUGAGAUUUCAGAUGUUAUGGAGAAGUUAUCAGAGUUAUAUUUAGGUGGGACUGCAAUUAAAGAACUGUCUUCAUCAAUUAAUAAACUCACGGGCCUUGCUACUUUGGACCUACGAGGCUGUCGAGAACUCAAGAGCCUGCCGAGCAGCAUUCAUAUGGGAUCUCUUCAAACCCUUAAUCUUUCUGGUUGCUCAAACCUUGGGAAGUUUACAGAAAUUUCAGAUGUUAUGGAGAAGCUAUCAGAGUUAUAUUUAGCUGGGACUGCAAUUAAAGAACUGUCUUCGUCAAUUAAUAAACUCACGGGCCUUACUGUUUUGGACCUAUCUGGGUGUCAAGAACUCAAGAGCCUGCCGAGCAGCAUUCAUAUGAGAUCUCUUCAAACCCUUAAUCUUUCUGGUUGCUCAAACCUUGAGAAGUUUCCAGAGAUUUCAGAUGUUAUGGAGAAGCUAUCAGAGUUAUAUUUAGAUGGGACUGCAAUUAAAGAACUGCCUUCGUCAAUUAAUAAACUCACGGGCCUUACUGUUUUGGACCUAUAUGGGUGUCAAGAACUCAAGAGCUUGCCGAGCAGCAUUCGUGUGGGAUCUCUUCAUACCCUUUUUCUUUCAGGCUGCUCAAAACUUGAGAAGUUUCAUGAGAUUUCAGAUGUUGUGGAGGAGCUAUCAGAGCUUCAUUUAGAUGGGACUGCAAUUAAAGAAUUGCCUUCGUCAAUUAAUAAACUCACAGGUCUUCUUACUUUGGACCUACGAGGCUGUUCGAGAACUCAAGAGCCUGCCGAGCAGCAUUCAUAUGGGAUCUCUUCAAACUCUUAAUCUUUCUGGUUGCUCAAACCUUGAGAAGUUUACAGAGAUUUCAGAUGUUAUGGAGAAGCUAUCAGAGUUAUAUUUAGCUGGGACUGCAAUUAAAGAACUGUCUUCGUCAAUUAAUAAACUCACGGGCCUUAUUACUUUGGACCUGAAAGGUUGUCGAGAACUCAAGAGCCUGCCGAGCAGCUUUCAUAUGGGAUCUCUUCAAACCCUUAAUCUUUCUGGUUGCUCAAACCUUGAGAAGUUUCCAGAGAUUUCAGAUGUUAUGGAGAAGCUAUCAGAGUUAUAUUUAGAUGGGACUGCAAUUAAAGAACUGCCUUCGUCAAUUAAUAAAACUCACGGGCCUUACUGUUUUGGACUUAUAUGGGUGUCAAGAACUCAAGAGCUUGCCGAGCAGCAUUCGUAUGGGAUCUCUUCAUACCCUUUUUCUUUCAGGCUGCUCAAAACUUGAGAAGUUUCCAGAGAUUUCAGAUGUUAUGGAGAAGCUAUCAAAGCUUUAUUUAGAUGGGACUGCAAUUAAAGAACUGCCUUCGUCAAUU